RNAcentral lists this ribosomal RNA (301 nucleotides) under uncultured bacterium. RNAcentral describes it as "partial 16S ribosomal RNA". It matches the Rfam family "Bacterial small subunit ribosomal RNA", at positions 509 to 809 of the family's 1533-position model. The record is from RNAcentral.
CAGUCGCCGCGGUAAUACAGAGGGUGCAAGCGUUAAUCGGAAUUACUGGGCGUAAAGCGCGCGUAGGUGGUUUGUUAAGUUGGAUGUGAAAUCCCCGGGCUCAACCUGGGAACUGCAUCCAAAACUGGCAAGCUAGAGUAUGGUAGAGGGUGGUGGAAUUUCCUGUGUAGCGGUGAAAUGCGUAGAUAUAGGAAGGAACACCAGUGGCGAAGGCGACCACCUGGACUGAUACUGACACUGAGGUGCGAAAGCGUAGGGAGCAAACAGGAUUAGAUACCCCCGUAGUCCCUGUCUCUUAUAA